Non-coding RNA from Paramuricea clavata, 1053 nucleotides. NCBI's taxonomy places the organism in Eukaryota, Metazoa, Cnidaria, Anthozoa, Malacalcyonacea, Plexauridae. The record is from the annotation of a GenBank genome assembly.
CUUGGUUAUUCCGGUUUUAGUGGUUUUUUCCCCUUGGUUCUUUAGGUUCUCUUGCUCUUCUAAUUUACUUCGUUCCCUUGCUUCUCCUUGUUCAAUUCGUCUUUUGGUUUUAUCGAUUCUUCUGGUUGUCUUUGUUCUUCUGGUUGUCUUGGCCUAUUUGUUCCCUUAGCUCUUCUUGUUUUCUUGGCUCUUCUGGUUCUGUUGCUUCGUCUGGUUCUCCUGGUCUUCUAGUUCUCUUGGUUCUUCUGAUCCACUUGGUUCUUCUGGUUCUCUUGAAUUCUAGUUCUUUCUGGUUUUUUGUUUUUUUAAUUGGUUCUCUUUCUUCUCUUUCUUCUUUUGUUUCUUGUAGUUCUCUCGAUUUUUCUAUUUUUGGUUCUUCUGGUUUUGUUAGUUCUUUUGGUUCUAGGUCCCUUAAUUCUUCUGGUUUUCUUUGUUCUUCUGGUUUUGUUAGUUAUGGUUGUUUUGCUUCUCGUGGUCCUUCUUGUUCCCUUGGUUCUUGAGGUUUUCUUGGCGUUUUUUUGUGGUUUUCUUUGCUCUUAUGGUUUUCUUGGUUCAUAUGGUUUUCUUGGUGUUUCUGAUUUCAUUGUUCUUCUAGUUCUCUUGGUUCUUAUGUUUCUCUUGGUUCUUCUGUUUCUUGGAAAUACAGAAAUUUGGAUUUACCAGGAGGAGUUACUGAAAAUCGCCCCUUGCGACUCCGGUACAGUGCUCUUACCAACUCAGCUGCCUAAACAUAUUCAGUUGACGAUCUUCAACCUCAAGUUCAUGUUAUAUAUGAACGAAAUGAAUUAGGAAAUGAAUUUAAUCAGUGAGUAGAAGAUAGUUCUACUAACUGCGAAAGCGGACAACGCGGGAAAAUUCAAUAGAAUCGCUCAUGUGCAACCGUGCGUAUUCCGCAGACACAACAUCGUGAUAUGACGAACCGCACUGCCUUAAUUAUUCAGUUUUUAUGUUCGCAAGUCGCCGUCGUGGAAUCAGGCCUUAAUAUGCACAGAAAAGUGCUCUGUCUUCAUGUCACAUGUUGUGGCAAGUAACAACAGCUCCUUACCAUUAAAU